GAUGAACGCUGACAGAAUGCUUAACACAUGCAAGUCUUUGGCGAAGCUGUGCUUGCACAGCCUAGCCAAGGCGGACGGGUGAGUAACGCGUAAGGAACUUGCCCUGCAGUCAGGGAUAACAGACGGAAACGACUGAUAAGACCUGGUAAAGUCAGGCGGACUCAUGUCCAGCCUGAUGAAAAGAGAUGCUGCAGGAGAGCCUUGCGUCCUAUUAGCUUGUUGGUGGGGUAACGGCCCACCAAGGCGAUGAUAGGUAGCCGGCCUGAGAGGGUGGACGGCCACAAGGGGACUGAGAUACGGCCCUUACUCCUACGGGAGGCAGCAGUGGGGAAUAUUGGACAAUGGGGGCAACCCUGAUCCAGCAAUUCUGUGUGCACGAUGAAGGUUUUCGGACUGUAAAGUGCUUUCAGCAGGGAAGAAAAAAUGACGGUACCUGCAGAAGAAGCGACGGCUAAAUACGUG
Molecule: ribosomal RNA, 462 nt
Filed under: uncultured bacterium
Lineage: Bacteria
Description: partial 16S ribosomal RNA
Rfam family: Bacterial small subunit ribosomal RNA
Source: RNAcentral